AAGAGAAGAGGAGGCUAAAGGAAGAGAUUGAAAGGCGAAGAGCAGAAGCUGCUGAGAAACGCCAGAAGAUGCCAGAAGAUGGCUUGUCAGAUGACAAGAAACCAUUCAAGUGUUUCACUCCUAAAGGUUCAUCUCUCAAGAUAGAAGAGCGAGCAGAAUUUUUGAAUAAGUCUGUGCAGAAAAGCAGUGGUGUCAAAUCGACCCAUCAAGCAGCAGUAGUCUCCAAGAUUGACAGCAGACUGGAGCAGUAUACCAGUGCAAUUGAGGGAACAAAAAGCGCAAAACCUACAAAGCCGGCAGCCUCGGAUCUUCCUGUUCCUGCUGAAGGUGUACGCAACAUCAAGAGUAUGUGGGAGAAAGGGAAUGUGUUUUCAUCCCCCACUGCAGCAGGCACACCAAAUAAGGAAACUGCUGGCUUGAAGGUAGGGGUUUCUAGCCGCAUCAAUGAAUGGCUAACUAAAACCCCAGAUGGAAACAAGUCACCUGCUCCCAAACCUUCUGACUUGAGACCAGGAGACGUAUCCAGCAAGCGGAACCUCUGGGAAAAGCAAUCUGUGGAUAAGGUCACUUCCCCCACUAAGGAGCCUGUUUCUAAAGAAACCCAUGCUGUGAAAUAGAGACUUUUCUACUGAUCAUCGUAACUCUGUAUCUGAGCAGUGAUGCCAACCACAUCUGAAGUCAACAGAAGAUCCAAGUUUAAAAUUGCCUGCGGAAUGUGUGCAGUAUCUAGAAAAAUGAACCGUAGUUUUUGUUUUUUUAAAUACAGAAGUCAUGUUGUUUCUGCACUUUAUAAUAAAGCAUGGAAGAAAUUAUCUUAGUAGGCAAUUGUAACACUUUUUGAAAGUAACCCAUUUCAGAUUUGAAAUACUGCAAUAAUGGUUGUCUUUAAAAAAAAAAAAGAAA
Molecule: small RNA, 903 nt
Filed under: Pan troglodytes (chimpanzee)
Lineage: Eukaryota; Metazoa; Chordata; Mammalia; Primates; Hominidae
Description: processed transcript
Source: RNAcentral